GUGGCUUAGCGGUUAAGAGUGUCGGGCUAAUAUCUGGAAGACUCGGGUUCAAAUUCCCACUCA
This 63-nucleotide transfer RNA is filed under the name Sphaerodactylus townsendi. RNAcentral describes it as "tRNA-Ile". Lineage: Eukaryota; Metazoa; Chordata; Lepidosauria; Squamata; Sphaerodactylidae. The record is from RNAcentral.